GACGAACGCUGGCGGUGUGCCUAACACAUGCAAGUCGAACGGAAACGCCCUGCUAUUGUGCUGUGCCCGAGUGGCGAACGGGUGAGUAACACGUGAGUAACCUGCUCUUGACUUUGGGAUAACUUCAGGAAACUGGGCUUAAUAUCGGACAGCAGCUCCCGCAGCAUGGAGAGGGUUGGAAAGUUUCGGCGGUUGUGGAUGGACUCGCGGCUUACCAGUUUGCUAGUGGGGUGGUGGCAGACCAAGGGUUUGACGGGUACCCGGCAUGAGAGGGGGACCGGCGACAAUACGACUACGAGACGGACCAGACGCGUACGGGAGGCAGCAGUGGGGAGUAUUACACAAUGAGCGGGAGCCUGUUACAGCGACGUCGCGUGCGUAAUGACGGCCUUCGGGUUAUGAACCGCUUUCGCCUGUGACGAAGCGGUAGUGACGGUAAUGGAUAAAGAAGCACCGGCUAACUACGUG
Molecule: ribosomal RNA, 468 nt
Filed under: uncultured bacterium
Lineage: Bacteria
Description: partial 16S ribosomal RNA
Rfam family: Bacterial small subunit ribosomal RNA
Source: RNAcentral